GGAAUCUUCCACAAUGGGCGAAAGCCUGAUGGAGCAACGCCGCGUGUGUGAUGAAGGGUUUCGGCUCGUAAAGCUCUGUUGUUAAAGAAGAACACGUAUGAGAGUAACUGUUCAUACGUUGACGGUAUUUAACCAGAAAGUCACGGCUAACUACGUGCUAG
Molecule: ribosomal RNA, 161 nt
Filed under: uncultured bacterium
Lineage: Bacteria
Description: partial 16S ribosomal RNA
Rfam family: Bacterial small subunit ribosomal RNA
Source: RNAcentral